CUCAGCCUGCUUCUUUUUCCCCGCUUGUCUGGCUAGGACUCUUACCGAGCCGCACCACCUCUCUUCCACGAUGGUUCCUGGGUUUCUCUCCCGGCCUUCCGUUCUCGAGCCGCAACUCCUGAUCACUUGCUUUAGCUUACUUUAGACGCUAACCAAACAAGAUAGCUUUUUUUCAACGCCAAAUUGCCCAACACUCUAAAAACCGUUCCCUUAUCUCACAAAUCUUAGAUCUCAGAUUUCAGAUAUCAAAUAUCAGAUCGUUUCUUACUUUCCUUGAAGAAAUUGUGUUGUGAUGGCCGAUUUUCGUCUUCAAGGUAUUUGUCAAUCUCAAUUCACAGAGAUUGCUGCUGAAAGAGCUAAAGUAGCUGCGGAAGAAUAUUUCAAGUUGGGAAACAUCGACAGGGCUAUUCAGCAAGGGUUCGCAGCACUCGAUUUGAACCCCAAUUUACGGAUCGUGCAGAAGUACAUUGCCGCCUAUUUGAUUCACAAGUUUGCUUCUAUGUUAAGUCUUUGCCAGAAAAUGAAGGUAGACGAUACCAAAGUUCUGUACUCCAUUCUUUUUAUCGAAGAUUGUUCUGCCGUAGUUGAUGCUGCGACUAUUAGAAAACACUACAAAGAAGUGGUACUAUUGGUCCAUCCGGACAAGAAUGAUUCAGUUGCAGCAGAUGGUGCUUUCAAGAUCGUUCGUCAGGCUUGGGAAACUCUCUUAUCUGAUCACAACAAAAGAAGAAAGACUCUACGAAGAUGAAGUUCUUUGGUUUGGAUUAGAUUCAUUUUGAUAUGUAUUCAAAUUUUUUAUGAAUAAUAUGUAGUUAGUUUUUAUUUUGUUCUGAUUUUGUUACUUUUCUUAGAUUCAAUUUGAUUUGAUUUUUAGUGUCAGUCCAAUUUCAUAAUUAAUCACAAUUAUGAUUAAGCAUUCCAAGUUAAAAUGCUACCAUCAUCAAUCCAUAAUAUAAUAUACAGAGUAAAUUGAAGCAAAUUAUUUGAAGAACAUUCUGAUGUGGAUUUUUUAGGCAAUGAACAUUUUUUUAAGUUUUUAGAAUUUUUUUGGUUAAUUUUGUUAAAAUAAAUUGCUUUGUGUUAUAUAUUUUGUAAGUCUUUUUUGUUAGUUUGAAAUUGAAUUCUGGGUUCAAUAUGUUAUUGUAUUAAGAAACUAUGUGUUUUGCUUGCUUUAGUGUUUGUAUCGGUGCUGCAGUUGUUCACUUUCCAUACAAUCAAAUUAAAAAAAAAAGGGAAAAAAAUCAAAAUUUUCACAAAAGUUACCGUAAUAUAUUUCUUUUUAGGGGUGAUAGUUUGUUGAUUAUUCAUUAUUUCAAUGUCAAUUCUUUUUUUUUUUGGCUCAAGUUAAACAGGCAUUGAAAAACCAAUACUUGCUUGCAAAAGAAGAACCAUAUUGGUUCUAUGUGUCUUUUGAUUCUUCAAUUGUUAUCAAUUGCUUGCUCAUUUGUCCAGAUGUUCCCAAAUGAUGUUUACUUAGGCGAAAUCAUUGAUGCUGUAAAGUCUUUCAGGUUUGUUAUUCGGUUUUUCUCACUCAGAGGUUGAAUCACAAUUUAUCAUAUGUUUAUUUUGGCAUAAGUGUGCAUGUGUAGUGGUAAUAAGGCUGCUAAAGGGAAUAUAAUUUGUCAGUUUUUAUACAUAGCAAACCCUAAGUGUGAUUUCCUGGAAAAGCAGAAGUCCAAGAAUGGACUAUACACUUUCCUCUUUAUCUUUACUCAUAUCUUAGUGUUUUACUUUCCAAAAUGAAAGUUACCUCCAUCUCAACCUUACUGCUAUCUGCCCUAAAGACAACCUUACAUCCCAUUCAUAUCCAUUUAUUCAUCAAUUUAUGGUCGCAUCACAUGAUUUAUCUAUUAGCAACCAAUAUUCUUCUUUCAGACUUUCAGUCAAAGUUCUUAUUGACAGGAAGAGGUUUAACCUGAAACAGCAACCUGCCUGGCCUUCUUUUGGCUCAUUUGAACCUUUAACCUGUUUUCCUGGGCAGUCACCAUUGAUUAUAAGCCUAAAUUACUCUUGUUGUUUCUGUGCUAAAAGUAAUGCUGCUAAUGUCUAGUUCUGGCCAACUUUUGCUGAGCUGUUUGCAAUAAUUGUCGUAUACACAUUUAUGUAAAGGUACAUUUUUUCUUGGGCCUUAAUUCGCAUACCACGUAGUUCUCUCCUGAAUCAUUUUUUUGUCCCAUUUGUAAAUGUUAGGCUAUGAUUUGAAUUGCCUUGUUAAGGAGGCAUUAUCUAUUGAAAUGUUGCUGGCAGCUAUCCUCUAACUUAAGGGUGCAGGAGACACGGUCUUCAUUGGAGUGGUUGUGUUGGUUUAUCUGAAUCUUUACUGCAUAAGUGUCUGGUGAAAUGAAUCAAUAAAAAGAAGCAAAAUCAUUAAGGGGAUUUUUAGUGUGAAUGUGUAACUUAGGGGUGAUAAUGUUUUAUUUUUUCCUGUUUAAAUGAGAUGAUAAUGUUUUAUUUGAAUGUAUAUAGCAUGAAUCAGAAAAGUUGCGAUAAUGAGGGAUAUUGUAUCGUUUGAGGGUGGUGGUUGUCGGUUAUUUUGAUAGACAAAUGGAGGUAAUAUUUGGAUUCGGGUGCAUUAAUGAGAUGACUCUAAAAAUUAUGAGGUUAAUGUAGCAUAAGGUUCACAUAAUUUAUAAUGCCAUAAUCAUAAAUAAGCCCUUCACAUGUGAUAAAAUCCUCACUUAAGCCCUUAUUGUUUUGUUUGCGUCAAUUGAGUCCCCAACCUAUUAUUUUGAUGUCAAAUGAAUCCAAUUUGAAUGGGAAAUGCUGACAUCGCUAAAGGUGUGACUUAUUCCAACAUACAUGAGUUAAUUGGGGACAUUUGAAAUGUCAGCAUUUCCAUCUAAAUUGGAUUCAGUUGACACCAAAUGAUAGGUUGAUGGCUCGAUUGACACAAAUAAAAUAAUAAAGGCUUAAGUGAGAAUUUUACCAUAAUUUGAGAGCUUAUUUUGUUAUUAUGCCAUUUAUAAUUUACGAGAAGCAUUCUUGUCUGAAGUAUGUUUCAUUUUAAUUGUUACUUCUAUGCUUUUCCCUUUUCUCUUUUCCUUAGCUAGCCGCAUUUCAUGUUGAUUUUUUCCGGCCCUCCCAAAAGUCAAUGUCUGUUUGAUGUUUCCAUUCCUGCAUCUAUAUGUGCUUUGGAUCUGGAUUGGUUCCAAGGACCAUGCAUGGAAGUUAGUUCUAUGCUGAUGUUACCAAAUGAAUGCUUAAUAUGUAGUAAAGAAUGAUGUUGAAAAGCAAAAGGAUCUUGUGAAGACGUAACUAGUAUCAAACAUGGUAAACUGAGCAGCACCUGCCGACACAUUGUUAGUUACGUGUUUUGUCAAGGACCUCACCCUCUAAUCAUACCCAUGGAUGAGGCAUAUCCAGGUCACUGUCUGAUUGAUCAAUUGCAGCUGGCUGCUGCUUUUUAGCUUCUCUGUGGGUGCAUGUGUUAACAAGUGUGUGCAUAUUGAUGUUAGUUUUAAAGCUGUCGAUGAUAUGCAUAAUGGAUUACAUUUAGAAAAGAAAACGGAGAGAAGGUUAUUUUUUUUAUCUAAGCAUGUUGGUUUUGAUCAUAGAUCUGGAUGCUGACUUCUGGUUUGAAUUUGUUGAAUGUGGCUUUAGUAGGAAAUGAAUGCUUAUUGCCGUAAAUCCUGAUUUCUUUAAUUGUUCUCAUACUCAUUUUGUCAAAUACAUUUGGUGCUGCAGCCUACUGUGUAGUAGCAGUUGAAUCUGCUGGCAGGCAAGUUCCAAUUGCAUUUCUGGAACGAGUCAAGGAAGACUUCAACGAGACAUAUGGUGGAGGAAAAGCUGCAACUGCUCCCCCGGAUAGCGUGAAUAGAGAAUUUGGGUAUUUAACUGUCUUUAUUUUUCUCGUAGAUUUAUUGUUCACUUCUUCGUGACAUGCUUAGCUCUUUAUACAUAAUAGGUCCAAAUUGAAGGAGCAUAUGCAGUAUUGUGUGGACCAUCCUGAAGAGAUCAGCAAACUUGCCAAAGUGAAGGCUCAAGUUUCUGAAGUCAAGGGUGUUAUGAUAGAAAACAUUGAGAAGGUAAUAGGCUGCUGCUGAUGUUGUAGCUGUUCUAGAGGUAGUUUGAGGGUUAAAACAUGAUAAGAUGCACAUCCAGCUUCUGCAAGUUGCUAGACGCGUUAUAAAAUUGAAAGCACUUCAGAUAUAUUGCAUGUGGUGUGUUGUUUUGUUAGUAACAUUUGGCUUUGGCCAGGUCCUUGAUCGUGGUGAGAAAAUUGAGUUGCUGGUGGAUAAAACGGAGAACCUUCGCUCACAGGUUAGUCAUAUUCAAACUGCAUUUUAUGGGUAACUGAAACAAUGACUUAAUUGUGUUUUGGUGAAGCCAUUGCCUUUCAAAGUUGGUUUUAAAACUUAUUAGGAUUCUGAUCAAUUUCGGUUUUCUAAUUUAAAUACCGUCUUUUAUGGUUUCUUGAUGCCUUGUAUAUUGGCGCACAGUAUGAUGCAUUUAACUUGAUAUACGUAAGAUGCAGAAUAUGAUACAUUUAAUUUGAUAUUGCAUUACAGGCGCAAGACUUUAGGCAGCAGGGAACUAAGAUGAGACGAAAGAUGUGGCUUCAGAAUAUGAAGAUAAAAUUGAUUGUUUUGGGUAUCCUUAUUGCUCGAUUCUUAUCAUUGUGCUGUCAGUCUGCCAUGGCUUUAAAUGUUAAUCUGUCCUGGAUUUCCCGGGUACAGCUCUUGCUGCCCGGGUUGUCUUGAUAGAUUGGUUUGUCUUACAUGUUUUUGAAGGGCAUAUAUUUCUCCCUUUGCUAGCCUUUUAGGAUAGGGGGAGGCUUUGUAUCUUGGUUGGCUGUAUAGGUUAUAGUUUGAACUUGUUGCGGUAGAUAAAAAUUUCUACGGAGGAUUUCUUCUUUAUAUUGUAAUGGGGGAAUACUCGGAUGCCUGCAUAAUGUUAUUAAUCUGUUUUUUUUUUUUCUCUCUCUCUUAUCAUGUAAAUCCUUUUAUAUGCUUUUCUUUAGAGGUAAGUGGACACAGUUGGUUUUGUUAAAUUUUUUAAUGCUUUGGAGCCUAUGGUUGCAUGAGUAGCUCGGUGUCUUUACCGUCCGCAUGGAAGGUCUUUAGCUCUAAUGAUUAGAGAGAUGUGUAUGAUUGAUUUUCCCCCGCUUACUUUGAAGUCUUGUUUUGAGGAUCUAUUCUUUCUCCAUAGAGAAAUUUGGGGAAUAAGUAAAGAAUGUUGAUGAGGGGUUGUUUUGUUAAAAAAAAGAAAAAAGUUUGUUAAAAAAUUAGUUUUACUAUAAAAACAAAUCGAAUUUUAUUUGACAAUUGGUUCCCUUUCGAUUUUACAUUAUUCAAAUAAAAAGAGUUAGAUUAUUUUUGCUUGAAAACGACUCAAUUUGUGUUUCUAAUGAUACAAACUAUUAAGAACAGUGUAAAUCGAGUUUGAGUAAUGGAAACUAAUGUCCAUAGAACAGAUUAUAAUAUAUAAAAAAUUGUAGCAAUGAUGUGAAGUAGAAGCACUACUGUCUUCGCGGUUUUGUACAUAAUAUGCUAAGAUUAGAUGCCACAAUUGAAAAAAUUAAGGCUUAAUACAAAUUUUAACAUUUUUGAAUUUUUUCAAUAUUAAAUAUCUAAAAACCUGAUGCCUGUUGUUGGCUGGAGCAUCCUUGUCCCAUUAUCUCUUUGACCCACCUGUUUACGUGCUUAAAAUAUAUAUAUAUAUAUAUAUAUAUUAUAUAACAAAGUAAUUUUUUGUAAUUGAUAUUUUAUAAAUAAAAAUAAAAGAUUACAGAAGUAGUUAGGUACAAUAAUUAAAUACUUUUAAUUAUAAUUAUUCUCAAUCAUAAUUUCUUAUUGCAAUCAACACCAAUUUGAAUUUUGGUUCAAAUAAGAAAGAUAAGAUGCAUUUUGAGUAGAAAUUUUAAAUUCAAAUCAUAGAGUUCAUAAAGAGAAAAAGAAAAAAUAAAAAUUUCGUAUAAUUUACAGAGAAAAUGACGUGGUUUAUUGUCAAUGGCUUGAAAUGAGUUACAUGACGUCGUUUCCUUCUUAAUGCUUAUUUCUCUCCCCUCACACGGUGUCGUUUUACCAAGCAAUAAAUGCAUCCCGUGAAACCCUGGCCUGUUUCUUUUUCUUCCUUGUCUGGCUAGGACUCUAACCGAGCCGCACCACAUCUCUUCCACGAUGGUUCCUGGGUUUCUCUCUCGACCGUCCUUUUCACUUGCCUUAGCUUGUUUUAGACGCCAACCAAACGAAAUAGCGUCUUUUCAACGCCAAAUUGCCCAACACUAUAAAAACCGUUCCCUUAUCUCACAAAUCUUAGAUCUCAGAUUUCAGAUAUCAAAUCUCGGAUCGUUUCUUACUCUCUUUGAAGAAAUUGUGUUGCGAUGGCUGAUUUUCGUCUUCAAGGUAUUUUUCAAUCUCAAUUCACAGAGAUUGCUGCUGAAAGAGCUAAAGUAGCUGCAGAGGAAUACUUCAAGUCGGGAAACAUCGACAGGGCUAUUCAGCAAGGGUUCGCAGCACUCGAUUUGAACCCCAAUUUACGGAUCGUGCAGAAGUACAUUGCCGCCUAUUUGAUUCACAAGUUUGCUUCUAUGUUAAGUCUUUGCCAGAAAAUGAAGGUAGACGAUACCAAAGUUCUGUACUCCAUUCUUUUUAUCGAAGAUUGUUCUGCCGUAGUUGAUGCUGCGACUAUUAGAAAACACUACAAGGAAGUGGUACUAUUGGUCCAUCCGGACAAGAAUGAUUCAGUUGCAGCAGAUGGUGCUUUCAAGAUCGUUCGUCAGGCUUGGGAAACUCUCUUAUCUGAUCACAACAAAAGAAGAAAGACUCGAUGAAGAUGAAGUUUUUUGGUUUGGAUUAGAUUCAUUUUGAAUGUAUUCAAAUUUUUUUAUGAAUAAUAUGUAGUUACUUUUUAUUUUGUUCUGAUUUUGUUACUUUUUUUAGAUUCAAUUUGAUUUUGAUUUUUAGUGUCAGUCCAAUUUCAUAAUUGAUCACAAUUAUGAUUAAGCAUUCCAAGUUAAAAUGCUACCAUCAUCAAUCCAUAAUAUAAUAUACAGAGUAAAUUGAAGCAAAUUAUUUGAAGAAUAUUCUGAUGUGGGUUUUUUAGGCAAUGAACUUUUUCUUUAAGAUUUUAGAUUUUUUUUUGUUUAAUUUUGUUAAAAUAAAUUGCUUUGUGUUAUAUAUUUUGUAAGUCUUUUUCGUUAGUUUGAAAUUGAAUUCUGGGUUCAAGAGGUUAUUGUAUUAAGAAACUAUGUGUUUUGCUUGCUUCAGUGUUUGUAUCGGUGCUGCAGUUAUUCACUUUCUUUCUGAUUUGAUACAAUCAAACUAAAAAAAUAAAAUUUUCACAAAAGUUACUAUAAUAUAUUUCUUUUUAUGGGUGAUAGUUUGCUGAUUAUUCAUUCUGUCAAUGUCAGUUCUUUUUUGGCUCAAGUUAAACAGGCAUUGAAAAACCAAUACUUGCUUGCAAAGAACCACAUUGAUUCUACGUGUCUUUUGAUUCUUCAAUUGUUAUCAAAUGCUUGCUCAUUUUGUCUAGAUGUUCCCAAAUGAUGUUUACUUGGGCGAUAUCAUUGAUGCUGCAAAGUCUUUCAGGUUUGUUAUUCGGUUUUUCUCACUUAGAGGUUGAAUCACAAUUUAUCAUAUGUUUAUUUUUGCAUAAGUGUGCAUGUGUAGUAGUAUAAGGCUGUUAAAGGGAAUAUAAUUUGUCAGUUUUUAUACAUAGCAAACCCUGAGUGUGAUUUCUUGGAAAAGCAAAAGUCCAAUAAUGGACUAUACACGUUCCUCUUUUAUCAUUACUCAUAUCUUAGCCUAAAUUACUCUUGUUGUUUCUGUGCUAAAAGUAAUGCUGCUAAUAUCUAGUUCUGGCCAACUUUUGCUGAGCUGUUUGCAAUAAUUGUUGUAUACACAUUUAUGUAAAGGUACAUUUUUUCUUGGUCCUUAAUUCAUGUACCAUGUAGUUCUCUCCUGAAUCAUUUUUUUGUCCCAUUUGUAAAUGUUAGGCUAUGAUUUGAAUUGCCUUGUUAAGGAAGCAUUAUCUAUUGAAAUGUUGCUGGCAGCUAUCCUCUAACUUAAGGGUGCAGGAGACACGGUCUUCAUUGGAGUGGUUUGUGGGAAAAGUACAAGACAUGAUUACCUAAAUACUUUGAGACGAUCUAUAGUGAAGAGUACAAAUAAAUCAAGGUGAUAGGUUUAAAGAAGCUGAUCAGUUUUGCACUUCAUUGCCUUUGUCAUAUAAAAGUUUUAAUCUCUAUUCACCCACCAAAAAGGAGGAAUAGGAAAGAAAAUUGCAAAAGUGGAAGCUUUUUUACAUUUGCAUAAUGCCUGAUGCACGCAUACGUUUAAGCACUUAGAGAGAGAUGAGACAAUGGUAGCUCACUUGGUGGGGGAAUUGAUGCAUUCAUAAAGCUGUCUCAAAGUUAGCUGCUAUUAAAAUCUCUAUUCAAUGUUCUAUAUACUUACUAAAAUUUGAAGUCUAUGUUCCAAAUUCUGAGGAAAUCAUUGGUAGAGAUAUCACCUGGAUCGGAUCCUGGUACAAAUACAUCUCAACACCUGUGGAGAAAUGUUAGUUAUGUUUCUGUUAGUAGCUUUUGUACUAGUGUAAUUUUCAUUACAUAAAUCAGUCAUGUAGGGUGCCUAGUGAUUUGAUUAUGAUAAUUGAUUUCCACGGUAAGAUGUACAAGUUUGGGUACUCCAGGACCAGAUCUCCAUUGCAGUGAUGUGCAAAGUUCAAGGAAAACUUUGUCAAGGGUCAUAAAUAUUGUGAAAGGGUUAACUCUAGCAUUUGUUUUUAAUUUACACUAGAUCUUCUGUCUGCUCGUGAGUAACGGGUUUUGCUUGUUUUCAUGACUUUUUCUUUAAAUUUAUCAUCACUAUUCACCAUGAUAUAGAUGAAUGAUAAUUAAAGAUAUAUUAAAAGAUAAUGACAAGAAAAUAUUGAGUUGUUCAGCUUUAAUUAUUUGGCACAGGCAAUGAGUCAAUGAGGGCAAAUGCUAUUGGCAGUUGUGUUGUGCUCAACCAUGGAGGAGGUUGCGCGGUAGACAAGAUGCUCAUGGAGUUUGCUUCACUGUCAAUAAUCCCUAUGAUACUUCUAUUUGUUGUUAUCCUCAUUAAUUCAUUUUUAAUUUUAUUAUUAUUUAUCUUUUUAAAAAUUGAUUUUACUAGAAUUCUGAUCAAUUUUGCUUUUCUAAUUUAAAUACUGUCUUUUAUGGUUUCUUUAUGCCUUGUAUAUUGGUGCACAAUAUGAUGCAUUUAACUUGAUAUACAUAAGAUGCACAAUAUGAUACAUUUAAUUUGAUAUUGCAUUACAGGUACAAGACUUUAGGCAGCAGGGAACUAAGAUGAGAAGAAAGAUGUGGCUUCAGAAUAUGAAGAUAAAAUUGAUUGUUUUGGGUAUCCUUAUUGCCCUGAUUCUUAUCAUUGUGCUGUCAGUCUGCCAUGGCUUCAAAUGUUAAUCUGUCUUGGAUUUCCCUUGUACCGCUCUUGCUGCCUGGGUUGUCUUGAUAGAUUGGUUUGUCUUACUUGUUUUUUUAGGGCAUAUAUUUCUCCCUUUGCUAGCCUUUUAGGAUAGGGGGAGGCUUUGUAUCUUGGUUGGCUGUAUAGGUUAUAGUUUGAACUUGUUACGGUAGAUAAAAAUUUCUAUGGAGGAUUUCUUCUUUAUAUUGUAAUGGGGGAUUACUCGGAUGCCUGCAUAUCAUAUUUGUCCUUUUGAAAUGUUAUUAAUCUGUUUUUUUGUUUUUCUCGCUUAUCAUGCAAAUCCUUUUAUAUGCAUUUCUCUUUUAGAGGUAAGAGGACAAGGUUGGUUCUGUAAAAAUUUUUAAUGCUUAGGAGACUACGGUUGCAUGAGUAGCUCAGUGUCUUCGCCUUCCGCAGGGAAGGUCUUUAGCUCUAAUGAUUAAAGCGAUGUGUAUGAUUGAUUUUCUCCCACUACCUUUGAAGUCUUGUUUUGAGGAUCUAUUCUUUCUACGGAGAGAAAUUUGGGGAAUAAGUAAGGGAUGUUGACGAAUGGUUGUUUUGUCAAAAAAAAAAAAAAAUGGUUUGUUAAAACACUAGUUUGACAACGAAACAAAUUGAAUUUUAUUUGGUAGUCGGUUCGAUUUUUCUUUAUUAAAAUCAAAGGCGUUAGUAUAUUUUUGCUUGAAAACGAUUUAAUUUGAGUUUUUAAUCGUAAAUCGAGUUUGAGUAAUGGAAACUAAUGUCCACAAGAAUAUAUUAUAAUAUAUGAAAAAUUGUAGCUAUGAUGUGAAGCAAAAGUACUAUUGUGCUCAUGAUUUUGUAUAUAAUAUGUUGAGAUUAGGUCCUACUAUUAGAAAAAUUAAAAUUUAAUUCAAAUUUUAACAUCUUGAAAUUCGUUCAAUAUUAAAUACUUAAAAACUUAAUGCCCGCUGUUAACUGAAUCAUCUUUGUAUCAUUAUCCUCUCUAAUCUUUUUUUUUUUGCUUAAAAUAUAUAUAUAUAUUAUAUAACAAAAGAUUUUUAAUAGUUGGUAUUUUAUGAAUGAAAACAAAAGACUACAAAGUAGUCUGUUAUAACAAUUAAAUACCUUUAAUUAUAAUUAUUCUCUAUCAUAGUUUCUUAUUGCAAUUAAUACCAAAUUGAAUUUUGAUUCAAGUAAGAAAGAUAAGAUGCGUUUUGAGUAGAAAUUUUAAAUUCAAAUUAUAGAGUUCAUCACGAGAAAGAGAAACAAUAAAAUUUCGUAUAAUUUACAAAAAAAAUGACGUCGUUUAUUAUUAAUCACUUGAAAUGAAUGGCAUGACGACGUUUCCUUCUUAAUGCUUAUUUCUCUCCUGCUACACGGUGUCGUUUUACCAAGUAAUAAAAGCAUCCCUUGAAACCCUAGCCUCUUUCUUUUUCUCCGCUGGUCUCGGUAAGACUCUAACCGAGCCGCACCACCUCUCUUCCACGAUGGUUCCUGGGUUUCUCUCCCGGCCCUCCUUUCUCGAGCCGCAACUCCUGAUCACUUGCCUUCGCUUGUUUUAGACGCCAAGCAAACAAGAUAGCUUUUUUCCAACGCCAAAUUGCCCAACAAUAUAAAAACCCUCCCUUUACUCACAAAAUCUUAGAUCUCAGAUUUCAGAUAUCAAAUCUCAGAUCGUUUCUUACUCUCUUUGAAGAAAUUGUGUUGCGAUGGCUGAUUUUCGUCUUCAAGGUAUUUGUCAAUCUCAAUUCACAGAGAUUGCUGCUGAAAGAGCUAAAGUAGCUGCAGAGGAAUACUUCAAGUCGGGAAACAUCGACAGGGCUAUUCAGCAAGGGUUCGCAGCACUCGAUUUGAACCCCAAUUUACGGAUCGUGCAGAAGUACAUUGCCGCCUAUUUGAUUCACAAGUUUGCUUCUAUGUUAAGUCUUUGCCAGAAAAUGAAGGUCGACGAUACUAAGGUUCUGUACUCCAUUCUUUUUAUCGAAGAUUGUUCUGCCGUAGUUGAUGCUGCGACUAUUAGAAAACACUACAAAGAAGUGGUACUAUUGGUCCAUCCGGACAAGAAUGAUUCAGUUGCAGCAGAUGGUGCUUUCAAGAUCGUUCGUCAGGCUUGGGAAACUCUCUUAUCUGAUCGCAACAAAAGAAGAAAGACUCGAUGAAGAUGAAGUUUUUUUGGUUUGGAUUACAUUCAUUUUGAUAUGUAUUCAAAUUUUUUAUGACUAAUAUGUAGUUAGUUUUUCUUUUGUUCUGAUUUUGUUACUUUUCUUAGAUUCAAUUUGUGUUGAUUUUUAGUGUCAGUUCAAUUUCAUAAUUAAUCACAGUUAUGAUUAAGCAUUCCAAGUUAAAAUGCUACCAUCAUCAAUCCAUAAUAUAAUAUACAGAGUAAAUUGAAGCAAAUUAUUUGAAGAAUAUUCUGAUGUGGGUUUUUUAGGCAAUGAACUUUUUCUUUAAGAUUUUAGAUUUUUUUUUGUUUAAUUUUGUUAAAAUAAAUUGCUUUGUGUUAUAUAUUUUGUAAGUCUUUUUCGUUAGUUUGAAAUUGAAUUCUGGGUUCAAGAGGUUAUUGUAUUAAGUAACUAUGUGUUUUGCUUGCUUCAGUGUUUGUAUCGGGGUUACAGUUUGUUCACUUUCGUUCUCAUUUGAUACAAUCAAACUAAAAAUAAAAAAGGAAAAAAAUUAAAAUUUUCACAAAAGUUACUAUAAUAUAUUUCUUUUUAGGGGUGAUAGUUUGUUGAUUAUUCAUUAUCUCAAUGUCAAUUCUUUUUUUUUUUUGGCUCAAGUUAAACAGGCAUUGAAAAACCAAUAUUUGCUUGCAAAAGAAGAACCAUAUUGGUUCUACGUGUCUUUUGAUCCUUCAAUUGUUAUCAAAUGCGUGCUCAUGUUGUCCAGAUGUUCCCAAAUGAUGUUUACUUUGGCGAUAUUAUUGGUGCUGCAAAGUCUUUCAGGUUUGUUAUUCAGUUUUUCUCACUCAGAGGUUGAAUCACAAUUUAUCGUAUGUUUAUUUUUGCAUAAGUGUACAUGUGUAGUGGUAUAAGGCUGUUAAAGGGAAUAUAAUUAGUCAGUUUUUAUACAUAGCAAACCCAAAGUGUGAUUUCUUGGAAAGGCAGAAGUCCAAGAAUGGACCAUACACUUUCCUCUUUAUCUUUACUCAUAUCUUAGUGUUUUACUUUCCAAAAUGAAAGUUACCUGCAUCUCAACCUUGCUGCUAUCUGCCCUAAAGACAACCUUACAACCCAUUCAUAUCCAUCUAUUCAUCAAUUUAUGGUCCCAUCACAUGAUAUAUCUAUUAGCAACCGAUAUUCUUCUUUCAGACUUUCCGUAAAAGUUCUUAUUGACAGGAAGAAGUUUCACCUGAAACAGCAACCUGCCUGGCCUUCUUCUGACUCAUUUGAACCUUUAACCUGUUUUCCUGGGCGGUCACCAUUGCUAAUAAGCCUAAAUUACUCUUGUUGUUUCUGUGCUAAAAGUGAUGCUGUUAAUAUCUAGUUCCGGCCAACCUUUGCUGAGCAGUUUGCAACAAUUGUCGUAUACACAUUUAUGUAAAGGUACAUUUUUUCUUGGUCCUUAAUUCAUGUACCAUGUAGUUCUCUCCUGAAUCAUUUUUUUGUCCCAUUUGUAAAUGUUAGGCUAUGAAUUGAAUUGCCUUGUUAAUAAGGAGGCAUUAUCUAUUGAAAUGUUGCUGGCAGCUAUCCUCUAACUUAAGGGUACAGGAGACAAGGUCUUCAUUGGAGUGGUUUGUGUUGGUUUAUCUGAAUCUUUACUACAUAAGUGUCUGGUGAAAUGAAUCCAUAAAAAGAAGCAAAAUCAUUGAGGGGAUUUUUAGUGUGAAUGUGUAACUUAGGGGUGAUAAUGUUUUAUUUUUUCCUGUUUAAAUGAGAUGGUAAUGUUUUAUUGGAUGUAUAUAGCAUGAAUCAGAAAAGUUGUGAUAAUGAGGGACAUUGUAUCUUUUGAGGGUGGUGGUUGUCGGUUGUUUUGAUAGACAAAAUGGAGGUAAUAUUAAGAUUCGGACGCAUUAAUGAGAUAACUCUGAAAAUUAUCAGGUUAAUGUAGCAUAAGGUUCACAUAAUUUAUAAUGCCAUAAUGAUAAAUAAGCCCAUCACCUGUGAUAAAAUCCUCACUUAAGCCCUUACUGCUUUAUUUGCGUCAAUUGAGUCCCCAACCUAUUAUUUUGAUGUCAAAUGAAUCCAAUUUGAAUGGGAAAUGCUGACAUCGCUAAAGGUGUGACUUAUUCCAACAUACAUAAGUUAAUUGGGGACAUUAGAAAUGUCAGCAUUUCCAUCUAAAUUGGAUUCACAUGACACCAAAUAAUAGGUUGAUGGCUCGAUUGACACAAAUAAAAUAAUAAAGGCUUAAGUGAGAAUUUUACCAUAAUUUGAGAGCUUAUUUUUUUAUUAUGCCAUUUAUAAUUUACAAGAAGCAUUCUAGUCUGAAGUAUGUUUCAUUUUAAUUGUUGCUUCUAUGCUUUUCCCUUUUCUCUUUUCCGUAGCUAGCUGCAUUUCAUGUUGAUUUUUCCCUGCCAUCCCAAAAGUCAAUGUCUGUUUGAUGUUUCCAUUCAUGCAUCUAUAUGUGCUUUGGAUCUGGAUUGGUUCCAAUGACCAUGCAUGGAAGUUAGUUCCAUGCUGAUGUUACCAAAUGAAUGCUUAAUAUGUAGAAAGUAAAGAAUGAUGUUGAAAAGCAAAAGGAUCUUAUGAAGACAUAACUAGUAUCAAACAUAGAAAAAUGAACAGCACCUUCUGACACAUUGUUAAUUACGUGUUUUGUCAAGGACCUCACCCUCUAAUCAUACCCAUGGAUGAGACAUAUCCAGGUCACUAUCUGAUUGAUCAAUUGCAGCUGGCUGCUGCCUUUUAGCUUCUCUGUGGGUGCAUGUGUUAACAACUGUGUGCAUAUUGAUGUUAGUUUUAAAGCUGUCGAUGAUAUGCAUAAUGGAUUACAUUUAGAAAAGAAAACGGAGAGAAGGUUAUUUUUUUUAUCUAAGCAUGUUGGUUUUGAUCAUAGAUCUGGAUGCUGACUUCUGGUUUGAAUUUGUUGAAUGUGGCUUUAAUAGGAAAUGAAUGCUUAUUGCCAUAAAUCCUGAUUUCUUUAAUCGUUCUCAUAUACUCAUUUUGUUAAAUACAUUUGGUGCUGCAGCCUACUGUGUAGUAGCAGUUGAAUCUGCUGGCAGGCAAGUUCCAAUUGCAUUUCUGGAACGAGUCAAGGAAGACUUCAACAAGAGAUAUGGUGGAGGAAAGCUGCAACUGCUACCGCAAAUAGCCAGAAUAAAGAAUCUGGGUAUUUAGCUGUCUUUAUCUUUCUUGUAGAUUUAUUGUUUACUUCUUCGUGACAUGCUUAGCUCUUUAUACAUAAUAGGUCCAAAUUGAAGGAGCAUAUGCAGCAUUGUGUGGACCAUCCUGAAGAGAUCAGCNAAAAGUUGUGAUAAUGAGGGACAUUGUAUCUUUUGAGGGUGGUGGUUGUCGGUUGUUUUGAUAGACAAAAUGGAGGUAAUAUUAAGAUUCGGACGCAUUAAUGAGAUAACUCUGAAAAUUAUCAGGUUAAUGUAGCAUAAGGUUCACAUAAUUUAUAAUGCCAUAAUGAUAAAUAAGCCCAUCACCUGUGAUAAAAUCCUCACUUAAGCCCUUACUGCUUUAUUUGCGUCAAUUGAGUCCCCAACCUAUUAUUUUGAUGUCAAAUGAAUCCAAUUUGAAUGGGAAAUGCUGGCAUUGCUAAAGGUGUGACUUAUUCCAACAUACAUGAGUUAAUUGGGGACAUUAGAAAUGUCAGCAUUUCCAUCUAAAUUGGAUUCACAUGACACCAAAUAAUAGGUUGAUGGCUCGAUUGACACAAAUUAAAUAAUAAAGGCUUAAGUGAGAAUUUUACCAUAAUUUGAGAGCUUAUUUUUUUAUUAUGCCAUUUAUAAUUUACAAGAAGCAUUCUAGUCUGAAGUAUGUUUCAUUUUAAUUGUUGCUUCUAUGCUUUUCCCUUUUCUCUUUUCCGUAGCUAGCUGCAUUUCAUGUUGAUUUUUCCCUGCCAUCCCAAAAGUCAAUGUCUGUUUGAUGUUUCCAUUCAUGCAUCUAUAUGUGCUUUGGAUCUGGAUUGGUUCCAAUGACCAUGCAUGGAAGUUAGUUCUAUGCUGAUGUUACCAAAUGAAUGCUUAAUAUGUAGAAAGUAAAGAAUGAUGUUGAAAAGCAAAAGGAUCUUAUGAAGACAUAACUAGUAUCAAACAUGGAAAAAUGAACAGCACCUUCCGACACAUUGUUAAUUACGUGUUUUGUCAAGGACCUCACCCUCUAAUCAUACCCAUGGAUGAGACAUAUCCAGGUCACUAUCUGAUUGAUCAAUUGCAGCUGGCUGCUGCUUUUUAGCUUCUGUGUGGGUGCAUGUGUUAACAAGUGUGUGCAUAUUGAUGUUAGUUUUAAAGCUGUUGAUUAUAUUUAUAAUGGAUUACAUUUAGAGAAGAAAAAAGAGAGAGGUUUUUUUUUUUUUUUUAAACAUGUUGGUUUUGUCAUAGAUCUGGAUGCUGACUUCUGGUUUGAAUUUGUUGAAUGUGGCUUUAAUAGGAAAUGAAUGCUUAUUGCCAUAAAUCCUGAUUUCUUGAAUCGUUCUCAUAUACUCAUUUUGUUAAAUACAUUUGGUGCUGCAGCCUACUGUGUAGUAGCAGUUGAAUCUGCUGGCAGGCAAGUUCCAAUUGCAUUUCUGGAACGAGUCAAGGAAGACUUCAACAAGAGAUAUGGUGGAGGAAAGCUGCAACUGCUACCGCAAAUAGCCAGAAUAAAGAAUCUGGGUAUUUAGCUGUCUUUAUCUUUCUUGUAGAUUUAUUGUUUACUUCUUCGUGACAUGCUUAGCUCUUUAUACAUAAUAGGUCCAAAUUGAAGGAGCAUAUGCAGCAUUGUGUGGACCAUCCUGAAGAGAUCAGCAAACUUGCCAAAGUGAAAGCUCAAGUUUCUGAAGUCAAGGGUUUUAUGAUGGAAAACAUUGAGAAGGUAAUAGGCUGCUGCUGAUUUUGUAGCUGAUCUAGAGGUAGUUUGAGGGUUAAAACAUGAUAAGAAGCAUAUCCAGCUUCUGCAAGUUGCUAGAUGUGUUAUAAAAUUGAAAGUACUUCAGAUAUAUUGCAUGUGGUGUGUUGUUUUGUUAGUAACAUUUGGCUUUGGCCAGGUCCUUGAUUGUGUUGAGAAAAUUGAGUUGCUGGUGGAUAAAACGGAGAACCUUCGCUCACAGGUUAGUCAUAUUCAAACUGCAUUUUAUGGGUAACUGAAACAAGGACUUAAUUGUGUUUUGGUCAAGCCUUUGCCUUUUCAAAGUUGGUUUUAAAUAUUAUUAGGAUUCUGAUCAAUUUUGGUUUUCUAAUUUAAAUACCGUCUUUUAUGGUUUCUUUAUGCCUUGUAUAUUGGUGCACAAUAUGAUGCAUUUAACUUGAUAUACAUAAGAUGCACAAUAUGAUACAUUUAAUUUGAUAUUGCAUUACAGGUGCAAGACUUUAGGCAGCAGGGAACUAAGAUGAGAAGAAAGAUGUGGCUUCGAUUAUGAAGAUAAAAUUGAUUGUUUUGGGGAUCCUUAUUGCCCUGAUUCUUAUCAUUGUGCUGUCAGUCUGCCAUGGCUUCAAAUAUUAAUCUGUCUUGGAUUUCCCUGGUACAGCUCUUGCUGCCCGGGUUGUCUUGAUAGAUUGGUUUGUCUUACUUGUUUUUUUAGGGCAUAUAUUUCUCCCUUUGCUAGCCUUUUAGGAUAGGGGGAGGCUUUGUAUCUUGGUUGGCUGUAUAGGUUAUAGUUUGAACUUGUUGCGGUAGAUAAAAAUUUCGGUGGAGGAUUUCUUCUUUAUAGUGUAAUUGGGGAAUACUCGGAUGCCUGCGUAUCAUAUUUGUCCUUUUGAAAUGUUAUUAAUCUGUUUUUCUGUUUCUUUCGCUUAUCAUGUAAAUCCUUGUAUAUGCAUUUCUUUUUUAGAGGUAAGAGGAGACGGUUGGUUUUGUUAAAUUUUUUAAUGCUUAGGAGCCUAUGGUUGCAUGAGUAGCUCGGUGUCUUUACCUUCCGCAGGGAAGGUCUUUAGCUCUAAUGAUUAGAGCGAUGUGUAUGAUCGAUUUCCCCCCACUCACCUUGAAGUCUUGUUUUGAGGAUCUAAUCUUUCUCCAGAGAGAAAUUUGGGGAACAAGUAAGGGAUGUUGAUGAAGGGUUAUUUUGUUAAAAAACCAAAAUGGUUUGUUAAAAAAUUAGUUUGACUAUGAAACAAAUCGAAUUUUAAUUGGCAGUUGGUUCCCUUUCGAUUUUACAUUAUUCAAAUCAAAGGAGUUAGGAUAUUUUUGCUUAAAAACAAUCCAAUUUGAGUUCUAAUCGUACAAACUCUUUAAAACAGUAUAAAUCGAGUUUUGAGCAAUGAAAAUUAAUGUCCACAUGAACAGAUUAUAAUAUAUGGGAAAUUGUAGCAAUGGUGUGAAGCAGAAGCACUACUGUCUUCACGGGUUUGUACAUCAUAUGUUAAGAUUAGAUGCCACUAAUGGAAAAACUAAGGCUUAACAUAAAUUUUAACAUUUUGGAAUUUUUUCAAUAUUAAAUACCUAAAAGCUUUAUGCCCGUUGUUGGCUGGAUCAUCUUUGUCUCAUUAUCAUCUCUGUCUCAUCUUUUUACGUGCUUAAAAUAUAUAUAGAUAUAUAUUAUAUAACAAAGGAUUUUUUUAAUUGGUAUCUAAGCUAUAUAUGAUUCUUACCUAUCUAUAUACUCCACAUUCAACACCUGUAUCUGGUAUUUUAUCAAGAGUAAAGGGUAUUAUUGAGUUUUUAGUUCUACUUGCCAUUUCUUGCAGAUCCUUUUUCCUUUGUUGAUCCUAUCGACCUUUUCAUGGUCACACUGCCCCGACUCAGGCAUCACAAUCCCAAGUCGGUCCUAAUCAAAGAUGCUACUUCCAAGUUCUUCAGCACGGUCAUCAUCCUCUCCGAGAUCAACACGGAUAUGUGAUUUUGGACAUGCUCAAUCACAGAGCUUAACCCUUCUUAUUUGUGCAGCAGCCAACUCAUGGGUAAAUUGGUGAUUGCCUUGGGAUUUGCCAGUGUCUUUCUAAGCUUCUGUCCGUCUUUCUAGGCAUUCAUCCGGUGCAUGGAAGAAAGGUUUCGUCUGUGCAUGGAAUCGGGCCUUUGUCAGCGAAUGGAUUUACGGUCGAAACACCUUGACUCAAUGCAAUGGAGAGUUUCGAUGGCUGCAGUGGAGUUGAAUUAUCCGGUGGACUUUUCUAAGAUUAUGGAAUUCGAAAGGUUUGGAAGACGGGCUAAGGUUACAAGUCAGUCUUCUCAAUCUCAUCAACAUCUUGCUAUGAUGAUCAUUGAUGGUUUUCUGCAGUUUGAAUUGUUACUUUUCUUUCCCGAUAUAUAUUCAAUAUGCAAAAAUGAUUCUCUUUCAUUUCAUAAGUUUAUGUUCCCAUAUAAUUAAACAUAGGUGGGCUCGAGUCACAGCCCACAUAAGUGUAUGAAAAGACAAAUUUUGGAACGUUAUGGCUAUAUUUAAGCUCAGAGCAGUAAAAUUUUUUUUUAUUUUUUCAGAUAAUAUAAAGAAUGGAUUGAAAGAAACAGUUGAAAAUGAUUUGAGUAGUAAUUUUUCUUUGCUUCAGGUAGGUUUACCAAAUGAUUUAUUUCAAUAGAUAUGGGUUCCUCUGUUUUGAACGUUUUUGUUCUCUAAAAAGAUGAUUAGAAUGUACAAAAUACUUUGUGAAUGUAACAACUACUUACAUCAUUUUUAGUCUCAAAAUUCCAUAUUGGGUUACUUUUUUGAAUUGAGAAGUUCUGCAUCAAUGGAAAAGCUUAUCUUAAAUAAAAAUGGAUGAAUCAUUAGCAGAGGAAACUCAGUUGAGGACUAAAAGUGACCUUGGCAAAAGAAGCUCUGGUUCUUUUUUAAUAAGUACACAUUGUUACAUAUUUUUCUAUUGCUUCAUAUUAGAAGGAAUCUUUUAGAUAUUGGAUUGUCAUUAUACAAAAAUAAAAAGGGCAAUGGCAUGUUCUUGAUACCUUCUGUAUGAAGUGUGUACUAUUGUUUUUGUGUCAACAAUGCUGUGAAUAUAUAAUUAUUUUUUCAAGGGUAGCAUCAAACUCAAAUUUGAUGUCAUCAUAAAAAUUUCAAAAGUCAAAGGCUUUCCAGAACUUCUUCAAAAUAACGUAUACUCAGAUUUAACAAUGACUACUUACUUAAUUUGGCAACAACCAAAGACUAAAAAUUAGACUAAUUGUUGAUUAAUUACUAUGUAGUUGCUGCAAAAGACCUUUUCUGACAGUACUUAUUGCAUCAAUACUUGCAUAAUUUUGUAGUAUUAAUCAAUCUCUAUCUCUUACCUCAGUUCUGUAAAUACAGAAUAUUUUUUAAAAUGUUUGUUAAAUACAAGCAAAGAAUGCGCAUUUAAAAUAUAAAGUGCUCUAUAACAGAACAGAGCUUAGAUAUAUAGCCCAUUCAUAGCGAAUCAUGGCAGAAAACACUUUUUAUGGGUAUCCAAAACUUUGCAAAGAACACAAUUUUAAUGGAUUGGUUUUUUUUCGUUGGUCAUCCGUAUUGGGUUAACUCUAGAAAUUUCUUCUUAUAUAUUUUGACAAGCAUUGGCUCAAAAGUUUUGCAGAUUCAUGAUUUAUGUCCAUACCAAAGGGAUGAUAAUUGAUGAUAAGUAUGUUAUCAUGAGAUCAGUAAACAUUAACUAAAGAUCCUUAAAUGGUUCUAGGGACACAAAAGUAGCUAUUAGGUGCUUACCAACCAAAUUAUCCAUGGGCAGGAAACAAAUCCCGCUCGCAUUGCUAGGUUUGGGAUUCUGUCUGUACUCAUUUUUAAAUGCUCAAAAAAGUGCUAGACAGUCAUUUAUGCAUACUACUUCUGUUUUUUUGGUUUAAUUGUUUUAGCAUAUGCUUCAAAGGAAACAAAAUGGCAUUAGAGCAUGGAGAAUAGUAUCUCUGGGGUUAAAAAUAUAUUUAAUGUUUGCUUAAAUUCCUAUUUAGAUUUAUUAGUUGCACCAGUAUUGUUGGAUGUAGGUUUAUGGUUAUCGGAUGUUCCUGCGGGCUGAACACCUUGGCAAACUGGAGGAUAGUUUUCAAGAACCAUAAAGCCUAGAAUGUGUUUUUAAUUGUUCUAAAUUAUGUUUUAUUUUAUCAGUACUUGAAGUUUAUGGCUAGAUGGGAGCAGAAAAAGUCUGUCGGUGGUAAGUUUUUUUUGGUUUGCUCAAGUUUGUUAGGAUCCAUUGUUAAUGCAUACAUAAAAGUAUGGCCAUUUCUAAUCUUGCAAAUGAUGUGUUGUUCAUAUUCUAGGAGGAAAAAAGAAGGAAGUGAAGGAGACUGGUUUAGGUCUCUCUUUUACUAAGGAUGAAAAUUUCAAAGAAUGGUACUUUGAGGUAUAUUUUGUUGCAAUGGUACAAUUGCUUUGUGAUUGUUGUACUACUUUAUCGAGAUCUUAGUAUUUUAUGAUUAUAUCAUACAUUUUGGCUUUUGUAAGUUGCUGUCAACGAUGAAAUGAUUGAGUACAAUGACAUUUCUAGCUAUUAUAUUCUGAGGCCAUGGGCAAUUUCAAGUGGGAGAUUAAGUCAUAUAAUAUUUAUACUCAUUGCAGUUUAAGUACUAAAUAGCAAGUGUUAAUUAAUUACAAGGAAAAAAAUGGUCAUGGAUGUCAUUCCUUAUUAUUUUUUUUCUUUCCCUUCCCUUUAACUUAUCUAUGAUGUUAAAUUGCACACAUUCUUUGAUGUGGAAAUCAAGAACUACCUCUCUUUGUAUCUCCAAGUGUUUUGCAAAAAGAGAAAGAUCACAUUGAGGGUUUUGCUCCAGAGAUGAGAACUAAGGUUUUGGGCACAAUUGGCCUUGUGGAAUGUGCUUCAGCUUGGAAUUGUUAAUUUAUAUUUUUACGAAAUUUCUUGAAGCCAUUUGAAUCUCAUUUUGUCCCUAAAGAAGCAAGAUUAUUCACCAAGAAGCAGUAAACUUUUAAUUCAUAUCAUUCUUUGGUCUCAGAGAUUUGUCACUAAGAAAGAUCUGCCUUGAUGUGUCAAUAAAGUUGGUAACAAAAUUUUCACUAAUUUUCCAAUAAGCAUUCAUCUUUUUUAUUCUUGCCUUUUAAACAAUAUAUAAAUUAACACAAUUUGUUUAACUAUUUAUACAUUACUGUAUAUUAUUUUUAUCAUAACAAAGUCUGUUUAACUAUUUAUCCAUUACUGCGUAUUAUUUUUACCAUAACAUAAUCAAUCUUUUUACAUUCGCAUCAUAACAAAUACAUCAUUUUAUUUAUUUUUCUUUAACUAAUUUAUAACAAUAAUAAUCUUAAAAAUUAUUAAAAUUAAUAAACAAUUCUUGAUUCUACUAAUUUAAAUUUUUUAUACAAAACUUUUAACAUCAAUUGUUCAUAAAAUUUACAAACUUGUCGCGUAGAGUCGGUAUUUUUUUAGUUUUAUAAAUUAAAAUAAAAAAUUACAAAAGUAGUAUGUUAUAACGAUUAAAUACCUUUAAUUAUAAUUAUUCUCAAUCAUAAUUUCUUAUUGCAAUGAAUACCAAAUUGAAUUUUGGUUCAAGAAAGAUAAGAUGCAUUUUGAGUAGAAAUUUUAAAUUCAAAUCAUAGAGUUCAUCACGUGAAAAAGAAAAAAAAAAUUUUUUGAAUAAUUUUGAGAGAAAAUGACGUCGUUUAUUGUUAGUCACUUGAAAUGAGUGAAAUGACGUCGUUCCUUCUUAAUGCUUAUUUCCCUCCUGCCACACGGUGUCGUUUUACUAAGUGAUAAAAUCAUCCCUUGAAACCCUGGCCUGUUUCUUUUUCUUCCUCGUCUGGCUAGGACUCUAACCGAGCCGCACCACCUCUCUUCCACGAUGGUUCCUGGGUUUCUCUCCCGGCCUUCCUUUUCACUUGCCUUAGCUUGUUUUAGACGCCAACCAAACGAAAUAGCGUCUUUUCAACGCCAAAUUGCCCAACACUAUAAAAACCGUUCCCUUUACUCACAAAAUCUUAGAUCUCAGAUUUCAGAUAUCAAAUCUCAGAUCGUUUCUUACUCUCUUUGAAGAAAUUGUGUUGCGAUGGCUGAUUUUCGUCUCCAAGGUCUUUGUCAAUCUCAAUUCACAGAGAUUGCUGCUGAAAGAGCUAAAGUAGCUGCAGAGGAAUAUUUCAAGUCGGGAAACAUCGACAGAGCUAUUCAGCAAGGGUUCGCAGCACUCGAUUUGAACCCCAAUUUACGGAUCGUGCAGAAGUACAUUGCCGCCUAUUUGAUUCACAAGUUUGCUUCUAUGUUAAGUCUUUGCCAGAAAAUGAAGGUAGACGAUACCAAAGUUCUGUACUCCAUUCUUUUUAUCGAAGAUUGUUCUGCCGUAGUUGAUGCUGCGACUAUUAGAAAACACUACAAAGAAGUGGUACUAUUGGUCCAUCCGGACAAGAAUGAUUCAGUUGCAGCAGAUGGUGCUUUCAAGAUCGUUCGUCAGGCUUGGGAAACUCUCUUAUCUGAUCACAACAAAAGAAGAAAGACUCGAUGAGGAUGAAGUUUUUUGGUUUGGAUUAGAUUCAUUUUGAUAUGUAUUCAAAUUUUUUAUGAAUAAUAUGUAGUUAUUUUUUAUUUUGUUCUGAUUUGGUUACUUUUUUGAGAUUCAAUUUGAUUUUGAUUUUUAGUGUCAGUCCAAUUUCAUAAUUGAUCACAAUUAUGAUUAAGCAUUCCAAGUUAAAAUGCUACCAUCAUCAAUCCAUAAUAUAAUAUACAGAGUAAAUUGAAGCAAAUUAUUUGAAGAAUAUUCUGAUGUGGGUUUUUUAGGCAAUGAACGUUUUCUUUAAGCUUUCAGAUUUUAUUUUGUUAAAAUAAAUUUCUUUGUGUUAUAUAUUUUGUAAGUCUUUUUCGUUAGCUUGAAAUUGAAUUCUGGGUUCAAGAGGUUAUUGUAUUAAGUAACUAUGUGUUUUGCUUGCUUCAGUGUUUGUAUCG
RNAcentral lists this long non-coding RNA (23205 nucleotides) under Theobroma cacao (cacao). Its description in RNAcentral is "long non-coding RNA (TCAC_LNC002723)". Lineage: Eukaryota; Viridiplantae; Streptophyta; Magnoliopsida; Malvales; Malvaceae. The record is from RNAcentral.